This 221-nucleotide long non-coding RNA is filed under the name Solanum tuberosum (potato). RNAcentral describes it as "long non-coding RNA (STUB_LNC007424)". Lineage: Eukaryota; Viridiplantae; Streptophyta; Magnoliopsida; Solanales; Solanaceae. The record is from RNAcentral.
AGAAAUAGUAGAGAAGAGAAAGUGUCCACAUUAACCUCAUCAAUUUACGUGUUUUUUUCAAGCACAAGCAAACGUUGCUUACGUCCCUCAUCCCUCCAAUCACCACCCUUUGUCUUUAUCUUUAUCAUCACUUCACAUGCCAUUUUAAUAUUUAAAUGAAGUUGUCUACGUAAGAAAAAAUAUAAACCAUUACCCACAAAUAUUUAUUAAUAAUUGCCUAC